UUUGUGUAUUUCAAUUGAUAGGUAUCAAUUGUUAGUUGUUAUUUGAUACUUUUCUGUCUGGCAUUUCUGAGUUUUUUUUUGUGAUUAUUACCAGCAAGUAGUUAAUAAGAAUUAUCAUAUACUUUUGUAAAUGUAGAAAUAUUGUGUCCCACCGACCAGCUGUGGUGACGCCAGUCGCCAACAGCUACAGCGCUUUUCCAGGAGGCUUCAGUUAUUCUGUGACUGGUGACCAAGGCACGACACAUCACCCAGCAACUCACAAUCUCGCUGGCGGAGAGUGUUGCUGAGCAGCUGACCAACUGCGGCUGCUGGAGCGUUUCUCAGUCGUCGACCUCCGUAGACUGUCAAGCCUCCCUGGCCUUCUGCGACUCAAGAAGGAGGGAUUUUUAUCUGUGUUUACCAUACAAGAGACAUUUUAAUCUGACGAUUCGAUCGGAUCUGGAUCAUGAAUCCCGAGGCGGUGUGACAGAUGGUCGAGGUCGGCGCGCCACGCCAGACGCCUUCUCGCGCGGGGCGUGCUCAGGUCAGUCAGGUUGCGCUGCCGGACUCUGCUCCGAGGAGAGAAGCACAUAAGCGCAGUCAGGACGCGAGUGUGUUUGCACCGCCCCGGUCCCAGCAACCGCAUGGCGGUGGGGACUCACAGCCCGGCUGAUGGUUCCAGAUCGUCUCAGCGCAGCUUCUUCUCCGGACCCCGGCGCGGCAGCGAGGCUGGUGGUUCGGAGCCGACUGAUGGAGGACAGCAAAAGAACAGCAGGACAGGACAGCACCCUAACAGUAGCCUUCGGUCAUGUGGCGAGAGCUGGGCCCCGGACCGGUCGAAAGGGUGCUCACUGCUGACUGCUCAGCUGAGUGGGUAAUGUCCGCGUCUCGUUAGUGUCCCCGGCCAGGUCCUGAAGGGUAGAUGAGGGCGGGAUAUUCUCCUUUAUAGACGCAGAGCAAUGCCAGAAGAAUGGUUUUGCGAUCGAGUUGCAUGCGCUGUCCCCGCCUGUCGCUCCUGCUGCCGCCGGCGGGGUUGGCGCCAAUGGCCAUUGACGGGGCUGCUGUGUUUGUAAAUUAGGUUGGAUGGACCCCUGCUCUCAGAGUUUUGUGUUGGUCGCUGGUAACCCAUGUUUUGUGGCCAGCGUGUUACGAACCCACGUAGUGGU
Molecule: long non-coding RNA, 1145 nt
Filed under: Amphibalanus amphitrite
Lineage: Eukaryota; Metazoa; Arthropoda; Thecostraca; Balanomorpha; Balanidae
Description: uncharacterized LOC122375231, transcript variant X3
Source: RNAcentral